AUGGAACAGAUUUGGGUUUGCAGAGAGAGAGAGAACGAGCAAAUGUUAGAAAGUGGAAGAGGGUGAUCUUACAUCUAAUAGAAGCCCUAAUUUCAUUAUUCUGAUGACAAGUUUUAUAUUGUUUUGAACAAUGAUGAUAUUCAGAUCUGGAUGGAGCUUUCCCUCUUCUUAAAGGUGUUAUUGCGACAACUGAUGUUAUGAAGCUUGUAAAGGUGUUGAUGUUGCAAUAAUGCUCGGUGGAUUCCCUCAUAGAAAAGAUGAUAACAAGGAUUUAAUAUUUAGUAAUGUUGCUAUACAUAAAGCUCAAGCUUCGGCUUUGGAACAGCAUGCUGAUCCAGAUUGCAAGGUGCUUGUGGUCGCUGAUCCUGCAUAUACAAAUGCACUAAUCUUGAAAGAAUAUGCAACUUCGAUCCCAGAAGAGAAUAUUACAUCCCUCACAAGAUUAGAUCAUAAUCGUGCAUUAAACCAGAUAGCAGAGAAAGUAAAUGUAAAU
Molecule: long non-coding RNA, 493 nt
Filed under: Helianthus annuus (common sunflower)
Lineage: Eukaryota; Viridiplantae; Streptophyta; Magnoliopsida; Asterales; Asteraceae
Source: RNAcentral